UACAGAGGUGGCAAGCGUUGUUCGGAAUUACUGGGCGUAAAGGGCGCGUAGGCGGUCCGAUAAGUCCCGUGUGAAAUCCCUCGGCUCAACUGAGGAAUGGCACGGGAAACUGCCGGGCUUGAGUUCGGGAGAGGGAAGCGGAAUUCCGGGUGUAGCGGUGAAAUGCGUAGAUAUCUGGAGGAAUACCGGUGGCGAAGGCGGCAUCCUGGACCGAGAUUGACACUGAUGAGCGAAGGCUAGGGGAGCAAACGGG
This 253-nucleotide ribosomal RNA is filed under the name uncultured bacterium. Its description in RNAcentral is "partial 16S ribosomal RNA". It matches the Rfam family "Bacterial small subunit ribosomal RNA", at positions 524 to 776 of the family's 1533-position model. The record is from RNAcentral.